Molecule: ribosomal RNA, 492 nt
Filed under: uncultured bacterium
Lineage: Bacteria
Description: partial 16S ribosomal RNA
Rfam family: Bacterial small subunit ribosomal RNA
Source: RNAcentral
AGUGAACGCUGGCGGUAGGCCUAACACAUGCAAGUCGAACGGCAGCACAGUAAGAGCUUGCUCUUACGGGUGGCGAGUGGCGGACGGGUGAGGAAUACAUCGGAACCUACUUUUUCGUGGGGGAUAACGUAGGGAAACUUACGCUAAUACCGCAUACGACCUACGGGUGAAAGCAGGGGAUCUUCGGACCUUGCGCGAUUGAAUGAGCCGAUGUCGGAUUAGCUAGUUGGCGGGGUAAAGGCCCACCAAGGCGACGAUCCGUAGCUGGUCUGAGAGGAUGAUCAGCCACACUGGAACUGAGACACGGUCCAGACUCCUACGGGAGGCAGCAGUGGGGAAUAUUGGACAAUGGGCGCAAGCCUGAUCCAGCCAUACCGCGUGGGUGAAGAAGGCCUUCGGGUUGUAAAGCCCUUUUGUUGGGAAAGAAAAGCAGCAGGUUAAUACCCCGCUGUUCUGACGGUACUCAAAGAAUAAGCACCGGCUAACUUCGUG